AUUUAUAUAGUUUAUAUAAUAGAAAAACAUAAUAUUUUCAAUAUUAAAAAAGUAUAAGAUUUACUUAUAAAUA
RNAcentral lists this transfer RNA (73 nucleotides) under Amegilla calceifera. RNAcentral describes it as "tRNA-Glu". The record is from RNAcentral. Lineage: Eukaryota; Metazoa; Arthropoda; Insecta; Hymenoptera; Apidae.